GAUCUUGUUAAAAGGCAGAUUCUGAUUCAG
RNAcentral lists this microRNA (30 nucleotides) under Canis lupus familiaris (dog). Its description in RNAcentral is "miRNA (ENSCAFG00000057338.1)". The record is from RNAcentral. Lineage: Eukaryota; Metazoa; Chordata; Mammalia; Carnivora; Canidae.